GAUGAACGCUAGCGGGAGGCCUAACACAUGCAAGCUGAGCGGUAUUUGUCUUUCGGGACAGAGAGAGCGGCGUACGGGUGCGUAACACGUGUGCAACCUGCCUUUAUCAGGAGGAUAGCCUUUCGAAAGGAGAUUAAUACUCCAUAAUAUAUUAAUUGGCAUCAAUUGAUAUUGAAAACUCCGGUGGAUAAAGAUGGGCACGCGCAAGAUUAGAUAGUUGGUGAGGUAACGGCUCACCAAGUCGAUGAUCUUUAGGGGGCCUGAGAGGGUGAGUCCCCACACUGGUACUGAGACACGGACCAGACUCCUACGGGAGGCAGCAGUGAGGAAUAUUGGACAAUGGUUAGCGCCUGAUCCAGCCAUCCCGCGUGAAGGAUUAAGGACCUAUGGUUUGU
Molecule: ribosomal RNA, 395 nt
Filed under: uncultured bacterium
Lineage: Bacteria
Description: bacterial SSU rRNA
Rfam family: Bacterial small subunit ribosomal RNA
Source: RNAcentral